This 716-nucleotide ribosomal RNA is filed under the name Bacillus sp. Sb3-13. RNAcentral describes it as "bacterial SSU rRNA". It matches the Rfam family "Bacterial small subunit ribosomal RNA", at positions 170 to 869 of the family's 1533-position model. The record is from RNAcentral. Lineage: Bacteria; Bacillati; Bacillota; Bacilli; Caryophanales; Bacillaceae.
CGGAUGGUUGUUUGAACCGCAUGGUUCAGACAUAAAAGGUGGCUUCGGCUACCACUUACAGAUGGACCCGCGGCGCAUUAGCUAGUUGGUGAGGUAACGGCUCACCAAGGCAACGAUGCGUAGCCGACCUGAGAGGGUGAUCGGCCACACUGGGACUGAGACACGGCCCAGACUCCUACGGGAGGCAGCAGUAGGGAAUCUUCCGCAAUGGACGAAAGUCUGACGGAGCAACGCCGCGUGAGUGAUGAAGGUUUUCGGAUCGUAAAGUUCUGUUGUUAGGGAAGAACAAGUGCCGUUCAAAUAGGGCGGCAUCUUGACGGUUUCUAACCAGAAAGCCACGGCUAACUACGUGCCAUCAGCCGCGGUAAUACGUAGGUGGCAAGCGUUGUCCGGAAUUAUUGGGCGUAAAGGGCUCGCAGGCGGUUUCUUAAGUCUGAUGUGAAAGCCCCCGGCUCAACCGGGGAGGGUCAUUGGAAACUGGGGAACUUGAGUGCAGAAGAGGAGAGUGGAAUUCCACGUGUAGCGGUGAAAUGCGUAGAGAUGUGGAGGAACACCAGUGGCGAAGGCGACUCUCUGGUCUGUAACUGACGCUGAGGAGCGAAAGCGUGGGGAGCGAACAGGAUUAGAUACCCUGGUAGUCCACGCCGUAAACGAUGAGUGCUAAGUGUUAGGGGGUUUUCCGCCCCUUAGUGCUGCAGCUAACGCAUUAAGCACUC